This 433-nucleotide ribosomal RNA is filed under the name uncultured bacterium. Its description in RNAcentral is "partial 16S ribosomal RNA". It matches the Rfam family "Bacterial small subunit ribosomal RNA", at positions 29 to 507 of the family's 1533-position model. The record is from RNAcentral.
AACGAACGCUGGCGGCAUGCCUAACACAUGCAAGUCGAACGAGACCUUCGGGUCUAGUGGCGCACGGGUGCGUAACGCGUGGGAACCUGCCCUUAGGUUCGGAAUAACUCCCCGAAAGGGGUGCUAAUACCGGAUAAUUUCUUCGGACCAAAGAUUUAUCGCCUUUGGAUGGGCCCGCGUUGGAUUAGCUAGUUGGUAGGGUAAAAGCCUACCAAGGCGACGAUCCAUAGCUGGUCUGAGAGGAUGAUCAGCCACACUGGGACUGAGACACGGCCCAGACUCCUACGGGAGGCAGCAGUGGGGAAUAUUGGGCAAUGGGCGAAAGCCUGAUCCAGCAAUGCCGCGUGAGUGAUGAAGGCCUUAGGGUUGUAAAGCUCUUUUACCCGGGAUGAUAAUGACAGUACCGGGAGAAUAAGCUCCGGCUAACUCCGUG